RNAcentral lists this ribosomal RNA (875 nucleotides) under uncultured bacterium. RNAcentral describes it as "bacterial SSU rRNA". It matches the Rfam family "Bacterial small subunit ribosomal RNA", at positions 28 to 896 of the family's 1533-position model. The record is from RNAcentral.
AUUGAACGCUGGCGGAAUGCUUUACACAUGCAAGUCGAGCGGCAGCGCGGGGGCAACCCUGGGCGGCGAGCGGCGAACGGGUGAGUAACACAUCGGAACGUACCCUAUCGUGGGGGAUAGCUCGGCGAAAGCCGGAUUAAUACCGCAUAAGACCUGAGGGUGAAAGCGGGGGAUCGCAAGACCUCGCGCGAUUGGAGCGGCCGAUGUCGGAUUAGCUAGUUGGUGAGGUAAAGGCUCACCAAGGCGACGAUCCGUAGCUGGUCUGAGAGGACGACCAGCCACACUGGAACUGAGACACGGUCCAGACUCCUACGGGAGGCAGCAGUGGGGAAUUUUGGACAAUGGGGGAAACCCUGAUCCAGCCAUUCCGCGUGAGUGAAGAAGGCCUUCGGGUUGUAAAGCUCUUUCGGCAGGAACGAAACGGUGGAGGCUAAUACCUUCCAUCAAUGACGGUACCUGAAGAAGAAGCACCGGCUAACUACGUGCCAGCAGCCGCGGUAAUACGUAGGGUGCGAGCGUUAAUCGGAAUUACUGGGCGUAAAGCGUGCGCAGGCGGCUUUGUAAGACAGGUGUGAAAUCCCCGGGCUUAACCUGGGAACUGCGCUUGUGACUGCAAGGCUUGAGUGCGGCAGAGGGGGGUGGAAUUCCACGUGUAGCAGUGAAAUGCGUAGAGAUGUGGAGGAACACCGAUGGCGAAGGCAGCCCCCUGGGUCGACACUGACGCUCAUGCACGAAAGCGUGGGUAGCAAACAGGAUUAGAUACCCUGGUAGUCCACGCCCUAAACGAUGCCAACUAGGUGUUGGGGAAGGAGACUUCCUUAGUACCGUAGCUAACGCGUGAAGUUGGCCGCCUGGGGAGUACGGUCGNCAGAUUA